Sebastes umbrosus (honeycomb rockfish) is the source of this 246-nucleotide long non-coding RNA. RefSeq lists it as uncharacterized. Lineage: Eukaryota; Metazoa; Chordata; Actinopteri; Perciformes; Sebastidae. The record is from RefSeq and is a predicted model, not a curated record. The transcript is spliced from 3 exons.
CUGCUGCUGGCGGUCUGCAUCGCUGGACUCUUCAUCUGGAGGAGGAACAAUAACGGGUUUCGCCCUGCUAACAAGGGGCAGUGAUCAUAGAAGAGGAUGCUGAACUCCACAACUUUCUGUCAGCAUUCACCCGUUCACACACACAUUCACACACUGAUGGCAGAGGCUGCUGAGGUUCCAACUUUGCCCAUCAGGAUCUAAUCUAAAUACUCAUUCACACACCGAUGGCUAUGCCUUUGGGAGCAA